AAGACUAUACUUUCAGGGAUCAUUUCUAUAGUUUGUACUACAGGAUUCCAGCUAUAGGACAUUCUGGGAAAGGCAAAACUACGGGGACAGUUAAAAGAUAAGUAGC
This 106-nucleotide small nucleolar RNA is filed under the name Mustela putorius furo (domestic ferret). RNAcentral's name for it is "Small nucleolar RNA U3". It matches the Rfam family "Small nucleolar RNA U3". Rfam says of the family: Small nucleolar RNAs (snoRNAs) are involved in the processing and modification of rRNA in the nucleolus. There are two main classes of snoRNAs: the box C/D class, and the box H/ACA class. The record is from Rfam by way of RNAcentral. Lineage: Eukaryota; Metazoa; Chordata; Mammalia; Carnivora; Mustelidae.